GAAACACCAGUUCACAUACGAUCACCAAGGUUAAGCAAUGCUGAGCCUGGUCAUCACCUAGAUGGGUGACCACUUGGGAAUACUAGGUGCUGUAAG
This is a non-coding RNA of Acanthosepion pharaonis, 96 nucleotides long. The record is from the annotation of a GenBank genome assembly. NCBI's taxonomy places the organism in Eukaryota, Metazoa, Mollusca, Cephalopoda, Sepiida, Sepiidae.